RNAcentral lists this long non-coding RNA (1025 nucleotides) under Medicago truncatula (barrel medic). RNAcentral describes it as "long non-coding RNA (MTRU_LNC005649)". Lineage: Eukaryota; Viridiplantae; Streptophyta; Magnoliopsida; Fabales; Fabaceae. The record is from RNAcentral.
UCCUCUAAUACAAUUUUUUAGUUCCCCCAAAUAAGGAGGAUUUAGUAUUAUGAAAAAAAGUUAACUCCCAAAGCUCUCCCCUCCCAUUUUCCUCUAUUUCUUUCACUUGAUCAUUCUUUUUUUCCCAAAUCUUCCCUUCUCUUCCCUUUCAAACUUGCAAACAAAGCCUAAGAAAAUUACCACACAAAAAGGAGAUCAGAUGGUGAUCAAUAAAAUGGGUCGGAAAUCUCUCAACUUCCUGAGUGGUUUUCUAUCCAAAACUUUUGCAAGACUCCACCAUAUAAGGACAUGGAAAAUGUUGUGUACACCUCAUGUGGGUGUAUAUGCCAUCAAAGUCAAACAAAGAGGAAAUGAAAUAAAAAGAUAGUCAUGUGAUAGAUGUGUGAUAGAGCAAUGAUAAGUGAACACAAAAAUAUAGACACAAAUACGACAUCAUGGAUAGAUUGGUAAUUUCCUUUAAAAUACAAUGGCAUAAUUGAAAUUCUAAUUGAUUUCACUCUUUUUUAUUCUUUUUCAACCAUCGCUGAUGCUGUUCACUCACCAUCAUCCUAAACCCUAAACCCUAAACCCUAAACCCUAAAACAGAUCUGCAUCGGCGAAGGCGAGGUCUGUGAGAAUCUCAGUCGCGAAAACACUGUAAAAGAGUGGUCGUCGGUGAUGAGGACAGAACGGUCGCCGGUGAUUAAGACAGAACGGUCGGCGGUGAAUUUGGUAGAUCAGUGUCGGUGAGAGAAUGAGAGAAAACUGUGUUUGAUUUGAUAAGAGUGGAAGAGACAUGUACUGGUGUGAGAGGAUGAGAAAAUAAACAAACAAAUAAAAUGUAUAAGUGAACGGUUUGACCAUAAUCCUUUCCUUGCUGGUCUAUGUUUUAUCCCUAACUGGGAGCUCAAUGAGAUAAAUAUAUCUUGCACCACUAUUAUUGUUUCUUUUUAGGUAUUAUCUUCUAUUGUCCAAGACAUCUUUUGGAGCCAGAUCACAACCUUAUCUAGAUUUAGGCUUCUAUAAUUAUUAUGUCAAUUGAAUAA